This 411-nucleotide ribosomal RNA is filed under the name Hydnum rufescens. RNAcentral describes it as "partial 28S ribosomal RNA". It matches the Rfam family "Eukaryotic large subunit ribosomal RNA", at positions 1 to 402 of the family's 3401-position model. The record is from RNAcentral. Lineage: Eukaryota; Fungi; Basidiomycota; Agaricomycetes; Cantharellales; Hydnaceae.
CUGACCUCGAAUCAGGUGGGACUACCCGCUGAACUUAAGCAUAUCAAUAAGCGGAGGAAAAGAAACUAACAAGGAUUCCCUUAGUAACUGCGAGUGAAGUGGGAUGAGCUCAAAUUUAAAAUCUGGUGGUCUUUGGCUGCCCGAGUUGUAAUCUAGAGAAGUGUUUUCUGUGCUGGACUGUGUUUAAGUUUCCUGGAUAUGGAACAUCAUAGAGGGUGAGAAUCCCGUCCUUAACACAGACACCCCAGUGCUCUGUGAUGCACUCUCGACGAGUCGAGUUGUUUGGGAUUGCAGCUCAAAAUGGGAGGUAAAUUCCUUCUAAAGCUAAAUAUUGGCGAGAGACCGAUAGCGAACAAGUACCGUGAGGGAAAGAUGAAAAGCACUUUGGAAAGAGAGUUAAACAGUACGUGA